Molecule: long non-coding RNA, 438 nt
Organism: Culex pipiens pallens (northern house mosquito)
Lineage: Eukaryota; Metazoa; Arthropoda; Insecta; Diptera; Culicidae
Exons: 3
Source: RefSeq, a predicted model, not a curated record
GGAUGUUGGAUAACAUUAUUAUUCACGGGUCCGUGGAAUUUUACCCUUUUGUUUGGGAUGUGAGAUUAAGCCGUGGCGCCGAAUUGACUGACACGGAGUAGAAGGAGAUGCCGAUUUAGAUAGUCGGUGCAAAUUAGUUUGGUACAUAUGUUUAACUUGAUGUCACAACUUGGAAAAUCUUAUCAAACGAGACCAAGAUUUUAAGUAAAUCCCAGUUCACCCAAAACGGUCCCCACAGCCUUCAAAAGGGUGUACGAUGGAGUUCGCGGAAAUCCACCUCCACUUUUCCGUCCAAGUGGAAAAUCUGGACUCGACAUCGCGGUCCGCACUGAUGACCGCGGUUUGAUGGGCGCUGAAAAGGCGAGUUGGUCCAGAGGGGGUACAAAUUACAGCAGGUUUUUUUUUGUUGUCUUGUCCAGGUGUGGACAGGUGCGCUCA